Molecule: ribosomal RNA, 465 nt
Filed under: uncultured bacterium
Lineage: Bacteria
Description: partial 16S ribosomal RNA
Rfam family: Bacterial small subunit ribosomal RNA
Source: RNAcentral
UCUACGGGAGGCAGCAGUAGGGAAUCUUCCACAAUGGGCGCAAGCCUGAUGGAGCAACACCGCGUGAGUGAAGAAGGGUUUCGGCUCGUAAAGCUCUGUUGUUGGAGAAGAACGUGCGUGAGAGUAACUGUUCACGCAGUGACGGUAUCCAACCAGAAAGUCACGGCUAACUACGUGCCAGCAGCCGCGGUAAUACGUAGGUGGCAAGCUUUAUCCGGAUUUAUUGGGCGUAAAGCGAGCGCAGGCGGUCGCUUAGUGCUGAUGUGAAAGCCUUUGGCUUAACCGAAGGAGUGCAUAGGAAACCGGGGGAUGUGAGUGUAGGAGAGGAAAGUGGAAGUCCAGGUGGAGCGGUGGAAUGCGUAGAUAUAUGGAAGAACACCAGUGGCGAAGGCGGCUGUCUGGUCUGCAACUGACGCUGAGGCUCGAAAGCAUGGGUAGCGAACAGGAUUAGAUACCCGAGUAGUC